RNAcentral lists this ribosomal RNA (1453 nucleotides) under Salmonella enterica subsp. enterica. RNAcentral's name for it is "partial 23S ribosomal RNA". It matches the Rfam family "Bacterial large subunit ribosomal RNA", at positions 1273 to 2709 of the family's 2925-position model. The record is from RNAcentral. Lineage: Bacteria; Pseudomonadati; Pseudomonadota; Gammaproteobacteria; Enterobacterales; Enterobacteriaceae. RNAcentral also lists the same sequence under 1 other name.
CUGGAGGUAUCAGAAGUGCGAAUGCUGACAUAAGUAACGAUAAAGCGGGUGAAAAGCCCGCUCGCCGGAAGACCAAGGGUUCCUGUCCAACGUUAAUCGGGGCAGGGUGAGUCGACCCCUAAGGCGAGGCCGAAAGGCGUAGUCGAUGGGAAACGGGUUAAUAUUCCCGUACUUGGUGUUACUGCGAAGGGGGGACGGAGAAGGCUAUGUUGGCCGGGCGACGGUUGUCCCGGUUUAAGCGUGUAGGUGUGUGUUCCAGGUAAAUCCGGUUCACUUUAACACUGAGGCGUGACGACGAGGCACUACGGUGCUGAAGCAACAAAUGCCCUGCUUCCAGGAAAAGCCUCUAAGCAUCAGGUAACAUCAAAUCGUACCCCAAACCGACACAGGUGGUCAGGUAGAGAAUACCAAGGCGCUUGAGAGAACUCGGGUGAAGGAACUAGGCAAAAUGGUGCCGUAACUUCGGGAGAAGGCACGCUGACACGUAGGUGAAGUGAUUUACUCAUGGAGCUGAAGUCAGUCGAAGAUACCAGCUGGCUGCAACUGUUUAUUAAAAACACAGCACUGUGCAAACACGAAAGUGGACGUAUACGGUGUGACGCCUGCCCGGUGCCGGAAGGUUAAUUGAUGGGGUCAGCGCAAGCGAAGCUCCUGAUCGAAGCCCCGGUAAACGGCGGCCGUAACUAUAACGGUCCUAAGGUAGCGAAAUUCCUUGUCGGGUAAGUUCCGACCUGCACGAAUGGCGUAAUGAUGGCCAGGCUGUCUCCACCCGAGACUCAGUGAAAUUGAACUCGCUGUGAAGAUGCAGUGUACCCGCGGCAAGACGGAAAGACCCCGUGAACCUUUACUAUAGCUUGACACUGAACAUUGAGCCUUGAUGUGUAGGAUAGGUGGGAGGCUUUGAAGUGUGGACGCCAGUCUGCAUGGAGCCGACCUUGAAAUACCACCCUUUAAUGUUUGAUGUUCUAACGUGGACCCGUUACCCGGGUUGCGGACAGUGUCUGGUGGGUAGUUUGACUGGGGCGGUCUCCUCCUAAAGAGUAACGGAGGAGCACGAAGGUUGGCUAAUCCUGGUCGGACAUCAGGAGGUUAGUGCAAUGGCAUAAGCCAGCUUGACUGCGAGCGUGACGGCGCGAGCAGGUGCGAAAGCAGGUCAUAGUGAUCCGGUGGUUCUGAAUGGAAGGGCCAUCGCUCAACGGAUAAAAGGUACUCCGGGGAUAACAGGCUGAUACCGCCCAAGAGUUCAUAUCGACGGCGGUGUUUGGCACCUCGAUGUCGGCUCAUCACAUCCUGGGGCUGAAGUAGGUCCCAAGGGUAUGGCUGUUCGCCAUUUAAAGUGGUACGCGAGCUGGGUUUAGAACGUCGUGAGACAGUUCGGUCCCUAUCUGCCGUGGGCGCUGGAGAACUGAGGGGGGCUGCUCCUAGUACGAGAGGACCGGAGUGGACGCAUCAC